Orcinus orca (killer whale) is the source of this 1221-nucleotide RNA transcript. It is a transcript of the gene named trans-golgi network vesicle protein 23 homolog A, with no coding region annotated. Lineage: Eukaryota; Metazoa; Chordata; Mammalia; Artiodactyla; Delphinidae. The record is from RefSeq and is a predicted model, not a curated record. The transcript has 8 exons.
CCCCCACCGGAGACCAGAGCGGAGGCCGCACCGAGGGCCUCAGGUUCCGACCCCACCGCGCCUCUAGCCGCAGCUGCCCGCCGGGCAUCCCAACCCUUCCGCAGCGAGAGGUGGAGCCGGAGGCUGGGUUGUGGGCUCCAGGUGGGCUCUGGGAGGGAUGAAGCAGGCCCUGGUGGACGAUACUGAGGAUGUGUCCCUGGAUUUUGGCAACGAAGAGGAACUGGCGUUUCGGAAAGCCAAGAUCAGGCACCCGGUGGCCACGUUUUUCCACCUGUUUUUCCGAGUGAGUGCCACCAUCACCUAUGUGGGCUGUGACUGGUUCAGCAGAAGCUUCGUGGGCUGUUUUGUCACCGUGCUUCUCCUCCUGUCCUUCGACUUCUGGUCUGUGAAGAAUGUAACCGGACGACUCCUGGUGGGCCUUCGCUGGUGGAACCAGAUCGACGAAGAUGGGAAAAGCCACUGGAUUUUUGAAGCCAGAAAGGUCUCUCCAAAUACCGUGGCUGCCACAGAGGCGGAAGCUCGGGUCUUCUGGCUCGGCCUCAUCAUCUGCCCCAUGAUUUGGAUCGUGUUCUUUUUUAGCUCCUUAUUUUCCUUGAAGCUCAAGUGGCUGGCCCUUGUGAUAGCUGGGAUUUCUCUCCAAGCCGCUAACCUGUACGGCUACGUCCUUUGUAAGAUGGGAGGCGAGAGUGACAUCAGCAAAGUCACAGCCAGUUUUCUGUCCCAGACGGUGCUCCAGACGGCUCUUCCUGAAAUGGUCUGAACCAUCUUAAAUGUGAACAGUGCAGCUUCACACCAAGACCUUGAGCAACCAGCCCUACAGGCUUUCAGUUCACUGUGGGUUUGCUCUGGCCUUGAAUCAGCGGGAUCAGGCCACACACAUGUGAGACAGAAAGCCAGGGCAGCCUCUUCCCCUUGCAGGCCUGUCCAAGAGACUUCCAGAAGCCUGGCCUUGAGGGGCUGGAGAUUCACAAGUAUUAGGCUUAUUUUCCGAGGCAGCGAAGGCUCAAGUGAGAGGUUCUGUAAUGGAACAGCUUCCGACAGAGAAGAAAACUCCAUGACCCACAAGCCGCUGGUUUUUUACAUGAAGCAGGCCUUGGGGCAGAGGUUUGAGAUGUUUUUAUUUUUAAAACGGCACAUCUGUAAAGAAUGCCCUUUACAUAUGUUCUAAAGAAAAGUGUACAAAUGUUAGAUGAUUAAAGUGUCUCUGAAACAGUGACUUCA